This 530-nucleotide ribosomal RNA is filed under the name uncultured bacterium. Its description in RNAcentral is "bacterial SSU rRNA". It matches the Rfam family "Bacterial small subunit ribosomal RNA", at positions 777 to 1304 of the family's 1533-position model. The record is from RNAcentral.
AAUAGAUACCCAGGUAGUCCACGCCGUAAACGAUGAGUGCUAAGUGUUAGAGGGUUUCCGCCCUUUAGUGCUGCAGCUAACGCAUUAAGCACUCCGCCUGGGGAGUACGGUCGCAAGACUGAAACUCAAAGGAAUUGACGGGGGCCCGCACAAGCGGUGGAGCAUGUGGUUUAAUUCGAAGCAACGCGAAGAACCUUACCAGGUCUUGACAUCCUCUGACAACUCUAGAGAUAGAGCGUUCCCCUUCGGGGGACAGAGUGACAGGUGGUGCAUGGUUGUCGUCAGCUCGUGUCGUGAGAUGUUGGGUUAAGUCCCGCAACGAGCGCAACCCUUGAUCUUAGUUGCCAGCAUUUAGUUGGGCACUCUAAGGUGACUGCCGGUGACAAACCGGAGGAAGGUGGGGAUGACGUCAAAUCAUCAUGCCCCUUAUGACCUGGGCUACACACGUGCUACAAUGGAUGGUACAAAGGGCUGCAAGACCGCGAGGUCAAGCCAAUCCCAUAAAACCCAUUCUCAGUUCGGAUUGUAGG